RNAcentral lists this unclassified non-coding RNA (675 nucleotides) under Zea mays. RNAcentral describes it as "misc RNA Zm00001eb133710". Lineage: Eukaryota; Viridiplantae; Streptophyta; Magnoliopsida; Poales; Poaceae. The record is from RNAcentral.
CUGGGAAGCCUGCUGGUCGGCUGGCCAGGUCGCUACCUACGUGACAGUGCAGGCUCGCAGACUCGGCUGGCCACGGCCAGGGAGCAGGGCACGCACGCCGGCAAGGAGGCGAGCAGCGCGCGCCAUGGGAGAGGUCGACCGUCGCUGCAGGACGGCAAGGCUAUGGCUGACAUGGUCUCUGGGGUUGCUAGCCAGGGGGCUAGGCCUGCUCUUAGGUGGAGUGCCGCAAUGUCUGGGUUUGUUCUACGCCGUUUUGUUGACUUGAUAGAUGAUGGCAUUGAAGUGACCUCAGAGUUUGUUGAUGCUUCCAAUCUAACUGGCAAGGGAAAGACUGUUGAUAAGGGUACCCCUGGUGACUCCAUUGAUACCAAGCCUAUGUCCAACUUAGGGAAGAGGAAGAGGUACAUGACUGAUGAAGAUGUUGCUGUGUUCAAUGGGAUGAAAGAGGCUGUAUCUGAUGUUGCUGCUGCUGUCCGUGAAAGCAUCCAUGCUGAAGCAGCACCUGGGAUCUACAAUGCUGUAAUCAACUGUCCUAGGUUCUCUAGGGAGGCUCUCAUGUAUGCCCUAAACCACAUGAUGGAGCACAAGGCCACCUCCCUGGUGUUCCUGGACAUGACUCCUGAUGAUCGUGACCUAUGGCUCAAGGCUUUCCUAGCCAAGCACUACCACAACUGA